RNAcentral lists this ribosomal RNA (696 nucleotides) under uncultured Lachnospiraceae bacterium. RNAcentral describes it as "bacterial SSU rRNA". It matches the Rfam family "Bacterial small subunit ribosomal RNA", at positions 28 to 725 of the family's 1533-position model. The record is from RNAcentral. Lineage: Bacteria; Bacillati; Bacillota; Clostridia; Lachnospirales; Lachnospiraceae.
GAUGAACGCUGGCGGCGUGCUUAACACAUGCAAGUCGAACGGGAAUUACUUUAUUGAAACUUCGGUCGAUUUAAUUUAAUUCUAGUGGCGGACGGGUGAGUAACGCGUGGGUAACCUGCCUUAUACAGGGGGAUAACAGUCAGAAAUGGCUGCUAAUACCGCAUAAGCGCACAGAGCUGCAUGGCUCAGUGUGAAAAACUCCGGUGGUAUAAGAUGGACCCGCGUUGGAUUAGCUGGUUGGUGGGGUAACGGCCCACCAAGGCGACGAUCCAUAGCCGGCCUGAGAGGGUGAACGGCCACAUUGGGACUGAGACACGGCCCAGACUCCUACGGGAGGCAGCAGUGGGGAAUAUUGCACAAUGGGGGAAACCCUGAUGCAGCGACGCCGCGUGAAGGAAGAAGUAUCUCGGUAUGUAAACUUCUAUCAGCAGGGAAGAUAGUGACGGUACCUGACUAAGAAGCCCCGGCUAACUACGUGCCAGCAGCCGCGGUAAUACGUAGGGGGCAAGCGUUAUCCGGAUUUACUGGGUGUAAAGGGAGCGUAGACGGUGUGGCAAGUCUGAUGUGAAAGGCAUGGGCUCAACCUGUGGACUGCAUUGGAAACUGUCAUACUUGAGUGCCGGAGGGGUAAGCGGAAUUCCUAGUGUAGCGGUGAAAUGCGUAGAUAUUAGGAGGAACACCAGUGGCGAAGGCGGC